RNAcentral lists this ribosomal RNA (598 nucleotides) under uncultured Paracoccaceae bacterium. RNAcentral's name for it is "bacterial SSU rRNA". It matches the Rfam family "Bacterial small subunit ribosomal RNA", at positions 49 to 691 of the family's 1533-position model. Lineage: Bacteria; Pseudomonadati; Pseudomonadota; Alphaproteobacteria; Rhodobacterales; Paracoccaceae. The record is from RNAcentral.
UAAUACAUGCAAGUACGAGCCGCGCCCUUCGGGGUGAGCGGCGGACGGGUGAGUAACGCGUGGGAAUAUGCCCUUCUCUAAGGAAUAGCCUCUGGAAACGGAGAGUAAUACCUUAUACGCCCUUUGGGGGAAAGAUUUAUCGGAGAAGGAUUAGCCCGCGUUAGAUUAGGUAGUUGGUGGGGUAAUGGCCUACCAAGCCUACGAUCUAUAGCUGGUUUGAGAGGAUGAUCAGCCACACUGGGACUGAGACACGGCCCAGACUCCUACGGGAGGCAGCAGUAGGGAAUCUUAGACAAUGGGGGCAACCCUGAUCUAGCCAUGCCGCGUGUGUGAUGAAGGCCCUAGGGUCGUAAAGCACUUUCGCCAGAGAUGAUAAUGACAGUAUCUGGUAAAGAAACCCCGGCUAACUCCGUGCCAGCAGCCGCGGUAAUACGGAGGGGGUUAGCGUUGUUCGGAAUUACUGGGCGUAAAGCGCACGUAGGCGGAUUAGUAAGUUAGAGGUGAAAUCCCAGGGCUCAACCCUGGAACUGCCUUUAAUACUGCUAGUCUUGAGUUCGAGAGAGGUAAGUGGAAUUCCGAGUGUAGAGGUGAAAUUCGU